This 425-nucleotide ribosomal RNA is filed under the name uncultured bacterium. Its description in RNAcentral is "partial 16S ribosomal RNA". It matches the Rfam family "Bacterial small subunit ribosomal RNA", at positions 354 to 796 of the family's 1533-position model. The record is from RNAcentral.
GUGGGGAAUCUUGCGCAAUGGGCGAAAGCCUGACGCAGCCAUGCCGCGUGAAUGAUGAAGGUCUUAGGAUUGUAAAAUUCUUUCACCGGGGACGAUAAUGACGGUACCCGGAGAAGAAGCUCCGGCUAACUUCGUGCCAGCAGCCGCGGUAAUACGAAGGGGGCUAGCGUUGCUCGGAAUUACUGGGAGUAAAGGGCGCGUAGGCGGACAGCUUAGUCAGAGGUGAAAGCCCAGUGCUCAACCUUGGAAUUGCCUUUGAUACUGGCUGUCUUGAGUUUGGGAGAGGUGAGUGGAACUCCGAGUGUAGAGGUGAAAUUCGUAGAUAUUCGGAAGAACACCAGUGGCGAAGGCGACUCACUGGCCCAAUACUGACGCUGAGGCGCGAAAGCGUGGGGAGCAAACAGGAUUAGAUACCCGAGUAGUCC